GCUAGCGUUACAUGUAACAGGAUAUACAGGAUAUAGAGCAAGUGGUUUCAGCUUGAUGUGUUUCCUCGCCUUCCGAGGUUUCCGAGAACGAUGCGGCGGAAUAGUAAACAAGCGUAUCUGUAUGCCAUCAUAACUGUGGUAGUCGUUGUGAUUUUGAUCGUCUUGAUUAUACCUAGCAAGAAGGUUUACUCCCGCCCGAGGUGGGAUUUCCGCAAAGACGAGAUAUGCAGGAAUCAAUUAGUAGACUCCGGAACACAAUAUGACGUGAGAAACGGACACCAAUUGCCCAGCAAAAAGCAUCUCUGUUCACAAACUAUUCCUCAAAUAGAACGUACCUACGCAAGGUAAACUGCCGCAGAUGUUG
Molecule: long non-coding RNA, 364 nt
Organism: Mizuhopecten yessoensis (Yesso scallop)
Lineage: Eukaryota; Metazoa; Mollusca; Bivalvia; Pectinida; Pectinidae
Exons: 3
Source: RefSeq, a predicted model, not a curated record